CGUGGUACAAUGCGAAGCGAAGCAGUGAUGUGAAGCAAAUCGCACCAAAGCCAGUCCCAGUUCGGAUAAGAGGCUGAAACUCGCCUCUUUGAAGUCGGAAUCGCUAGUAAUCGCAGAUCAGCAUGUUGCGGUGAAUACGUUCCCGGGUCUUGUACACACCGCCCGUCAAACCAUGAGAGUCACCAACACCCGAAGUCCGCCUUGGCGGCCUAAGGUGGGGAGAUGAUUGGGGUUAAGUCGUAACAAGGUAUC
Molecule: ribosomal RNA, 252 nt
Filed under: uncultured bacterium
Lineage: Bacteria
Description: partial 16S ribosomal RNA
Rfam family: Bacterial small subunit ribosomal RNA
Source: RNAcentral